AACGCACCUUGCACCCUUUGGUAUUCCGAAGGGUACACCCGUUUGAGUGUCAUUGUAAUCUCACUCCUUCAACUUUGUUGUUGUUGGAUGUGGACUUGGACUCUGUCGUGUCACAACGACUGGUCUUAAAUGAAUGAGUGCACCCUGCUGUUGCAGCGUCUUCAGUGUGAUAAGCAUCUUCACUGGAACAAAGUUCCCUUUUGGGACACGCAGGCAUUGUAGGCUCUGUGCUGGCAAACCGUCCUUUUUGGACAAAUCUUUGACAAUUUGACCUCAAAUCGGGUGGGACUACCCGCUGAACUUAA
RNAcentral lists this unclassified non-coding RNA (305 nucleotides) under uncultured Sebacinaceae. RNAcentral's name for it is "sequence contains ITS2". The record is from RNAcentral. Lineage: Eukaryota; Fungi; Basidiomycota; Agaricomycetes; Sebacinales; Sebacinaceae.